Molecule: transfer RNA, 26 nt
Filed under: Rucervus eldii siamensis
Lineage: Eukaryota; Metazoa; Chordata; Mammalia; Artiodactyla; Cervidae
Also listed under: 2 other names
Description: partial tRNA-Pro
Source: RNAcentral
UGAAGUUCUAUUUAAACUACUCCUUG